AAGACUAUAGACCUGCGGAGUACCUGCGGAGGGAUCAUUAAAGAGAAAACUGCCCUUUGGGUAGAUCUCCCACCCUUUGUUUACCUUACCUUUGUUGCUUUGGCAGGCCCGUCUUCUGACCACCGGCUUUAGCUGGUCCGUGCCUGCCAGAGGACCCCAAACUCUUAAUUUUAAGUUGUCCGAGUCUUAUAAAAUAGUAAAAACUUUCAGCAACGGAUCUCUAGAUCGGAAGAGCACACG
This 240-nucleotide unclassified non-coding RNA is filed under the name soil metagenome. RNAcentral's name for it is "partial contains 5.8S ribosomal RNA, internal transcribed spacer 2, and large subunit ribosomal RNA". The record is from RNAcentral.